UGGGGAAUAUUGCACAAUGGGCGCAAGCCUGAUGCAGCCAUGCCGCGUGUGUGAAGAAGGCCUUCGGGUUGUAAAGCACUUUCAGCGGGGAGGAAGGCGAUAAGGUUAAUAACCUCAUCGAUUGACGUUACCCGCAGAAGAAGCACCGGCUAACUCCGUGCCAGCAGCCGCGGUAAUACGGAGGGUGCAAGCGUUAAUCGGAAUUACUGGGCGUAAAGCGCACGCAGGCGGUCUGUCAAGUCGGAUGUGAAAUCCCCGGGCUCAACCUGGGAACUGCAUCUGAUACUGGCAAGCUUGAGUCUCGUAGAGGGGGGUAGAAUUCCAGGUGUAGCGGUGAAAUGCGUAGAUAUAUGGAGGAACACCAGUGGCGAAGGCGGCUCUCUGGUCUGUAACUGACGCUGAGGCUCGAAAGCGUGGGGAGCAAACAGG
Molecule: ribosomal RNA, 429 nt
Filed under: Chloroflexota bacterium
Lineage: Bacteria; Bacillati; Chloroflexota
Description: Chloroflexi bacterium partial 16S ribosomal RNA
Rfam family: Bacterial small subunit ribosomal RNA
Source: RNAcentral